CUCUCUAUUGUUCUUGUUCUUGUAUUAUUGUUCUUGUUCUUAUAUUAUUUCAUAACAGAAUGCAUGAAUUAUGUAUGUAUAAUAUCUUCAUUGGCUAUUUUUGGUUUAACCGGUUAGAUAGAUGGCUGUUAGGUUAAUUCUUCUUACCUAAUUGGAUAAACUUCUUCUCUCGAGUUUACUGGCUAGUAGGGUGGUUCAUGAUUCGGUUUGGAUCGGUUUUUCCCUAAAAAGAAACCAAAUCACGUAAAUUGGUUCUUCAAAUAUUGAAAUCAAACCAAACAAUUCUUUUAUCGAUUCCGUUCAUGUCAGUUUUUCAGUUUUUUUGGUGUGUGUGUUUAAAUAUGAGACAUAUACUACCAAACACAUAUUCUGGUGAUUAUAUUUUCAAGAUAACACUAUCUAACCAAUUGACGAAAUCUAUCAUUUACCAAGAUAUAUCGAUGAUAAUUGAACCAAACAGUGAUGAAUAAUUUUAGGACUUAAUUAAAAAUAGAUUAUUUUUAACACGAAAUAGAUUAUUGUACUUAGUAAAAGGAAACUAACCAAUCAAACUAUAAUGCAAAGGUAAAAAGUUAGAUUAUUAUAAUAGCAAAAAAUAAUACUAAAAGUGGAGACUAUUAAAAUGUAACAUAAAAUUAUAAAAUCAUAUAUAUAUAUAUAUAUAUAUGAGAUAUAUUUCACUGAUUAACAAAGAUCAUUUUCACAAAUCCACAAGUAGUUCUCCUGUGCAUAAUUGGUGUAUGACUUUACGAAGUAGUUUGAACACACGCAAACACAUAUUAUUGAGGCAAAAUAAAAAUCUAACAGAAGCUCAAAACUCUAGAAUUGCUAGUAGUUUCCACAAAAUUCAUUGCUAUAGCUGGACGAAUGUAUUGAUCUCAAAUUCAUUUCGAUUUUUAAAAAAGUACAUAAAAUUUUGUUUUUUAAAGGAGUGUGCUGGCAAGUAAUUACAAGAGGGCUACAAUUAAGAAAUGUGUAAUGAGCUAAGAAAGUCAAUCAUGGCACCUACGUAAUUUAAUAUAGCUGUGUUACUCCCAAAAAAGAGAAGAUAUACAUCUUAUUGGGCUCAACUUCUUCUGCCGUAUAUAUAUAUAUAUAUAUAU
Molecule: long non-coding RNA, 1103 nt
Filed under: Nicotiana benthamiana
Lineage: Eukaryota; Viridiplantae; Streptophyta; Magnoliopsida; Solanales; Solanaceae
Description: long non-coding RNA (NBEN_LNC009302)
Source: RNAcentral